AUUGAACGCUGGCGGCAGGCCUAACACAUGCAAGUCGAGCGAGCGGCGGACGGGUGAGUAAUGUAUGGGGACUGCCCGAUAGAGGGGGAUAACUACUGGAAACGGUAGCUAAUACCGCAUACUAUCGGAUAACCCAUAUGGGAUUAGCUAGUAGGUGAGGUAAUGGCUAACCUAGGCGACGAUCCCUAGCUGGUCUGAGAGGAUGAUCAGCCAAAAUGGGACUGAGACAGGGCCCAGACUACUAGGGAGGCAGCAGUGGGGAAUAUUGCACAAGGGGCGCAAGCCUGAUCCAGCAAGCCGGCGUGUAUGAUGAAGGCCUUCGGGUUGGAAAGUACGUUUGGCAGAGAAGCGGUAUCUGCAGAAUAAGCACCGGCUAACUACGUGCCAGCAGCCGCGGUAAUUC
RNAcentral lists this ribosomal RNA (403 nucleotides) under uncultured bacterium. Its description in RNAcentral is "partial 16S ribosomal RNA". It matches the Rfam family "Bacterial small subunit ribosomal RNA", at positions 30 to 526 of the family's 1533-position model. The record is from RNAcentral.